GAUGAAGAACGUAGCGAAAUGCGAUAAGUAAUGUGAAUUGCAGAACUCAGUGAAUCAUCGAGUCUUUGAACGCACAUUGCGCCCCCUGGUAUUCCGGGGGGCAUGCCUGUCCGAGCGUCAUUGCUGCCCUCAAGCACGGCUUGUGUGUUGGGCCUCCGUCCUCCUCCCGGGGGACGGGCCCGAAAGGCAGCGGCGGCACCGCGUCCGGUCCUCGAGCGUAUGGGGCUUCGUCACCCGCUCUUGUAGGCCCGGCCGGCGCUUGCCGACACAUCAAUCUUUUUUCCAGGUUGACCUCGGAUCAGGUAGGGAUACCCGCUGAACUUAAGCAUAUCAAUAAGCGGAGG
This 344-nucleotide unclassified non-coding RNA is filed under the name soil metagenome. Its description in RNAcentral is "partial contains 5.8S ribosomal RNA, internal transcribed spacer 2, and large subunit ribosomal RNA". The stretch from base 1 to 120 matches the Rfam family "5.8S ribosomal RNA", at positions 35 to 154 of the family's 154-position model. The record is from RNAcentral.